Long non-coding RNA from Lucilia sericata (common green bottle fly), 1820 nucleotides. RefSeq lists it as uncharacterized. NCBI's taxonomy places the organism in Eukaryota, Metazoa, Arthropoda, Insecta, Diptera, Calliphoridae. The record is from RefSeq and is a predicted model, not a curated record. The transcript is spliced from 3 exons.
AAUUUUAAACCGGAUUUGGUGUAAAAUAUUUUCAAUUCAAUUUGUUAUUAAAAGUUUGAAGCCAAUAAACCCACAACAGGAUUUUUGUUUUAAUUUCUUAUCUAAUCAAUAACAACAACUCUACACCCGACUAAGAUUGUCACGCUCUCUCAAGGUAAAUAUCGAAAGAAAACCAUAAAAAGUUUCUUGAAACUAAGAAAAUAAGUCAAUUAUAUUUAAAGUUGAAGUCUUUUAAACUGCAGUUUCAAAUCUAUAAUGAAUUUUAAAUUUCCAAUUUGCAUGUUAUUUACAAAAAUCUGCAAAAUUUCUUUAAGUGUAAAAAUGUAUUCUAUAACUUGUAGGCAAACAGCAAAUAAAUAGGGAUAACGAUGUUGCAACAACAUAAUUAUAUAUGUUUGUUACUUUUCCUUUGUCUUUGCUAUUGGCUUUUCCUCCCUAAAGAUUGUUAUAAUUCUAAGGUUGAAAGUUGUGGUUACUUUCAAGCAAACCGUGACAGUUGCAACAAAUAUAUAUUCAAGAGAUCAGCAAUCGGAAGUAAACAUUAUUGAAAUAUUUAUAUAUAUAGUUAUACAUACAUAUGUAUAUAGGUAAAUUAAAUUGAAGCAUUAAAUAAAAAAAUAAUAAUAACUAGUUCAUUCACUAUUCUUACAAUAAUGAUCUUCACAAAAUUGUUUAUAAAAAAGAAACCGAUUACUUGUUUAUAGUGGUGUUGUAGUUGAAUGAUCAUAUGUGUUUAAACAACUAGCAAGAUCGUCUGCUCAAUCAACUUGAAAUUAAUUUUAAACCAGAUUUUUAUAUAUAUUUUUUUUUUUUAAGCAAACAUUCUAAAUGAUUAUUACAUUAUACAUAAUUUUUUUAUCUUUUUAACCUGUUGUACUCUGGCACUACAUGAAUAUAUAAUUUAUAUAUUUAUUUUUUUUCUUAAAAGUUCUUUAUAGACUUGUUAUAAAAUUAUUCUUGUAUGUUGAUGAUUUCUUGUAGAGAAGAGACGUGAUCAUUUUCAUUUUUCUUCAAUGAAAACGAAACAGGAAAUUUAAAGUUGAACAGGAUGUUGCGAGUGUUUGUUGUUGUUAUUGUUGGGAGUAUGAGUUAAGAGAUUAAUAGUAAUGAUUUAGUUUUAAAUUUAAAAAUUUAAAUUAAUAUUAUUUUAAUUAAAGUAAUUGGUAGUCAGAACAUAGUUGUGUUGUUUUUUAUAAGAAAUGGCGUAGUAGUUUGUAAGAUAAUUAGUAUUCUAGCAGGCGUUCGUUGUAUAAGGGAAAUUAUAGUUUUUUCUUCCAGUGAAAUCAUUAAAUUAUUAAAAGAUUAAAAAAAUUAAGUUAAUUUUAAAAUAAAAUUAUAUAGAAAAAAUAAUAUAUCGUUGCUAUAUCUGGACUAUAGACUAGACUACAUACUAUAUAUUGUAGACCAUAGGUUUAUAGACUGGACUAAUGAUUAGACUAUAGACUAGAUUAUAGUCUAAACUAUGGAUAAGAUUAUACACUAGGCUACGGACUAAACUACACUAGAAGUAGAUAUUAUAUUAUAGGCUAUACUGUAACCUAAACACUAGAUUAUAGCCUGUACUAUGGGCUACAUACCAAACUACAGACUAGACUAUACUAUAUAACAGGCUAUAGAAAAUACUUUAUACUAAACUUUAGACUAAACUAUAGACUAGACUAAAGAAUAUAAUAUAUGCUAGAGUAUAGAAUGAAUUAUAGACUAGCCUAGAGACUAUUGACUUAACUAUAGAUUACACUAUAGAUAAGAAAACAGACUACACUACAAACCAGAAAAUGAAGUAGACUUAGGACUAGACUAUCGACUAGACUAUAGACUAA